ACGGUAACAGGUUAAGCUGACGAGUGGCGAACGGGUGAGUAAUAUAUCGGAACGUGCCCAGUCGUGGGGGAUAACGCAGCGAAAGCUGUGCUAAUACCGCAUACGAUCUCUGGAUGAAAGCGGGGGACCUUCGGGCCUCGCGCGAUUGGAGCGGCCGAUAUCAGAUUAGCUAGUUGGCGGGGUAAAGGCCCACCAAGGCGACGAUCUGUAGCUGGUCUGAGAGGACGACCAGCCACACUGGAACUGAGACACGGUCCAGACUCCUACGGGAGGCAGCAGUGGGGAAUUUUGGACAAUGGGCGCAAGCCUGAUCCAGCAAUGCCGCGUGCAGGAUGAAGGCCUUCGGGUUGUAAACUGCUUUUGUACGGAACGAAAAGGUCUGCCCUAAUACGGUGGGCCCAUGACGGUACCGUAAGAAUAAGCACCGGCUAACUACGUGCCAGCAGCCGCGGUAAUACGUAGGGUGCGAGCGUUAAUCGGAAUUACUGGGCGUAAAGCGUGCGCAGGCGGUUAUAUAAGACAGAUGUGAAAUCCCCGGGCUCAACCUGGGACCUGCAUUUGUGACUGUAUAGCUAGAGUACGGUAGAGGGGGGAUGGAAUUCCGCGUGUAGCAGUGAAAUGCGUAGAUAUGCGGAGGAACACCGAUG
RNAcentral lists this ribosomal RNA (647 nucleotides) under uncultured bacterium. Its description in RNAcentral is "bacterial SSU rRNA". It matches the Rfam family "Bacterial small subunit ribosomal RNA", at positions 66 to 714 of the family's 1533-position model. The record is from RNAcentral.